This 31-nucleotide transfer RNA is filed under the name Anguilla reinhardtii (speckled longfin eel). RNAcentral describes it as "partial tRNA-Phe". Lineage: Eukaryota; Metazoa; Chordata; Actinopteri; Anguilliformes; Anguillidae. The record is from RNAcentral.
CCAAGAUGAGCCAUAAAAAGCUCCGAUGACA